Molecule: ribosomal RNA, 492 nt
Filed under: uncultured bacterium
Lineage: Bacteria
Description: partial 16S ribosomal RNA
Rfam family: Bacterial small subunit ribosomal RNA
Source: RNAcentral
AGUGAACGCUGGCGGUAGGCCUAACACAUGCAAGUCGAACGGCAGCACAGUAAGAGCUUGCUCUUACGGGUGGCGAGUGGCGGACGGGUGAGGAAUACAUCGGAAUCUACUUUUUCGUGGGGGAUAACGUAGGGAAACUUACGCUAAUACCGCAUACGACCUACGGGUGAAAGCAGGGGAUCUUCGGACCUUGCGCGAUUGAAUGAGCCGAUGUCGGAUUAGCUAGUUGGCGGGGUAAAGGCCCACCAAGGCGACGAUCCGUAGCUGGUCUGAGAGGAUGUUGAGCCAAACUGGAACUGGGACACGGCCCAGACUCUUACGGGAGGCAGCGUAGGGGAAUAUUGGACAAGGGGGGCAAGCCUGAUCCAGCCAUACCGCGUGGGUGAAGAAGGCCUUCGGGUUGUAAAGCCCUUUGGUUGGGAAAGAAAAGCAUCAGGUUAAUACCCCGCUGUUCUGACGGUACCCAAAGAAUAAGCACCGGCUAACUUCGUG